GGGAAAUUAGUGUAGUGGUUAUCAUACUUGCCUUCCAAGCAGGUGACAUGGGUUCGAUUCCCGUAUUUCUCA
RNAcentral lists this transfer RNA (72 nucleotides) under Komagataella pastoris. RNAcentral's name for it is "tRNA-Gly". It matches the Rfam family "tRNA". From Rfam's summary of the family: Transfer RNA (tRNA) molecules are approximately 80 nucleotides in length. Their secondary structure includes four short double-helical elements and three loops (D, anti-codon, and T loops). The record is from RNAcentral. Lineage: Eukaryota; Fungi; Ascomycota; Pichiomycetes; Pichiales; Pichiaceae. RNAcentral also lists the same sequence under 4 other names.